This 496-nucleotide ribosomal RNA is filed under the name uncultured bacterium. RNAcentral's name for it is "partial 16S ribosomal RNA". It matches the Rfam family "Bacterial small subunit ribosomal RNA", at positions 28 to 506 of the family's 1533-position model. The record is from RNAcentral.
GAUGAACGCUGGCGGCGUGCCUAAUACAUGCAAGUCGAGCGAACAGACGAGGAGCUUGCUCCUCUGACGUUAGCGGCGGACGGGUGAGUAACACGUGGAUAACCUACCUAUAAGACUGGGAUAACUUCGGGAAACCGGAGCUAAUACCGGAUAAUAUAUUGAACCGCAUGGUUCAAUAGUGAAAGACGGUUUUGCUGUCACUUAUAGAUGGAUCCGCGCCGCAUUAGCUAGUUGGUAAGGUAACGGCUUACCAAGGCAACGAUGCGUAGCCGACCUGAGAGGGGGAUCGGCCCAACUGAAAUUGGGACCCGGUCCAGACCCCUACGGGAGGCAGCAGGAGGGAAUCUUCCGCAAUGGGCGAAAGCCUGACGGAGCAACGCCGCGUGAGUGAUGAAGGUCUUCGGAUCGUAAAACUCUGUUAUUAGGGAAGAACAAAUGUGUAAGUAACUAUGCACGUCUUGACGGUACCUAAGCAGAAAGCCACGGCUAACUACGU